GCUUUUUGCUGCUGCCUUUUUGAGGAAAAUGAGGGUCUUAUUUAUUUAUUUCUCCAUUUAUUAAUACAGUAUCUGCAAAGCACCUGCAAUGGCAGCCUCUUCGACAGCCUGACUGGCACCCUGGUUUCUAUGGCAACUGGAGAAAAGGGAACUUAGUGCAAUGAAAGCGGUGAAUGCCUCAGCUUUACUGGUAGCAGGGGAAAAAAUAAAGGAGGCCUCAUUUACAUUCUGGGAUACCUUUCAUUUUGGGUAUAUAAAUGUCCUGAUAGAUAUCAGCAAAGAGCAGAUGGCUUCACAAAAGACGUUUGAAAGCUGCCUCCCUCCUGCCAGAAGCUUUUCACACUCUCACUUUGUCUGGCUUCAGUGGGAUUCCUCAGUGGGAGAGAGCUCUCUCUGUGCCUGUCCUGCUGCUGGUUGAAGAAGACUCACACAAGCAGUUCUGCAGUGAUCAGAGCAUUUGCUCAAUUCCAGGGUCUACAGCCCUUUAGGAAGACCACCUCCCAGUAACUACCUUUGGAAAGAUCUAUAUUCAGAGCAUUUGAGCUGGAUAGACAACUGGAGUAUGUGUUGGCAGUGCCUAAGCUGCAGGGGAUGGCUCUCAGCAUAUCACUGGAGCUCAGGGACUCCAGCAGGGCAGCCUCGAGUCAUUGAUGUGGCAGCAGAGCAAGGGCGGAAUGGUCACACAGAAGUGGCUGGAAGUUUUUUGGUAUGACUGCUGGUGAGAGUGGAUUUUUAACAGGUUGACCCAGGUCCAGGCAUAAUCCAGUCUGGUCCAGUCCAAAUCCAAUCUGCUCCUGUCCUCACCAAAUGAACUGUGACAGAUGGCAGAGAUCUCACAAUGCCUCUCCCAGUUAGAGGAUCUUUCUGGGUCAUGACACUAAGCAGAGAGACACUGGAGUCUAGAAAAUAUAAGUGUGCAAAAAAAAACCAAAACACCCAAACCCAAAGCCUGGAGGACUUUUUGGUCAUACUCACUGUGUGAUGAAGCAAACUGCUAAAACCAGACUUAGCCCUGUUAUUUAUGUUUUUUGGGGGAAAACAAAAUAAUCUUUUCUGCCUGCUUGUGCUGUAAACAAGGAUUUUUCAAAGAUUUUUCAUUUUUAUGUUGCAAUGCUCCAAAUAUUAACAGACAUAGUACCACCAUUAUUUUAUAUGUUUCAGAUAGCUUUUACUAAAUUUUGCAAUUGCAGAACUUUGAUUUUAGUGCAUGAGCACCACAGGUCAACUGUCCUAUUUGGCAAAUAACUGCAAUGAUAUUCAAGCAGUUAAGUAUUUGCCCAACUCUUCUACUGCUACAACAAUAGGAAAACAGCAUAAUACAAGUGUUGAUGGACUAAUUGGAGGGAUUUUUUUUUUCUGGAGAAAGAAGAAUAUUUUUUGGUAAGAUAUUACUAGUAGAAGGAACUCAUUACUCUCAUUCUUGAAAAUUGUAGCUCUAAACAGCUACAAAAUAUGCUCUAAAAAGAAAGAAAGAAAACCACUUUUUCUUUGCUCUAAACAGGAAGGAUUUUUCCUAAGACUUUGGGAGUUUAUGAAAAUAUUAAGAAGCUAGGGAAUAAUUAAUUUUUUUUUUUAAUUUAAACAUAUAUUGUCAUCAUCCAUGUAUUAAAUGAUGGGUCUUCUCAAUAAAGGCAGCCACAGGCACUCUGUUUAAAUAG
Long non-coding RNA from Chloebia gouldiae (Gouldian finch), 1658 nucleotides. The record is from Ensembl. NCBI's taxonomy places the organism in Eukaryota, Metazoa, Chordata, Aves, Passeriformes, Passeridae.